CAGAGACAACGGGCUGCCUCGCUAAACGAUGCACACCUGUAACUCACGUGACCCUGGUUAUUAUUGAAACGAGAACGAGGGCGUCGUGCCUUUAUAAGACUGCGUUAAUGGUUCCGUGGAGUUAUCCCUUCCGUUGUUGUUUAUUGAUUGUUAAACAUGGCUUCAUUUACAAAGGUGGUUGUGUGUGUCCUCAUUGCUUGUGUCUGUAAUGCAUUCGGUUUUCCGAAGAGAGAUGUGAACUUUAAGGCCUCUGCAGUUGACCGCCAAAGUGAUGAUGUGGUUGUCACCACAACAGCCGUUCCCCACAACCAGACCACCUCUGCCCCUACUGAAGCUGGUGAUGGAGCAAGUGAAGAUGCUGUGGCUACUACCCCAGCACCUAAUCCACACAACCAGACAACUUCUGCACAAACUGAAGUUACUGAUGGGGCCAGUGAAGAUGCUGUGGACCGCCAAAGUGAUGAUGUGGUUGUCGCCACAACACCCAAUCCCCACAACCAGACCACAUCUGCCCCUACUGAAGCUGGUGGAGCAAGUGAAGAUGCUGUGGCUACUACCCCAGCACCUAAUCCACACAACCAGACAACUUCUGCACAAACUGAAGUUACUGAUGGGGCCAGUGAAGAUGCUGUGGACCGCCAAAGUGAUGAUGUGGUUGUCGCCACAACACCCGUUCCCCACAACCAGACCACCUCUGCCCCUACUGAAGCUGGUGGAGUUUUUAUUUAUUAAUUUUUUUACGAUAUUUUUUGGGUUCUGUUGAGUCUUGAUUGUGUUGGUUAAAUGUUCACUUUUGUAUGGUUAUCCUAAGAUGGAGCAAGUGAAGAUGGAGCAAGUGAAGAUGGAGCAAGUGAAGAUGGAGCAAGUGAAGAUGGAGCAAGUGAAGAUGGAGCAAGUGAAGAUGGAGCAAGUGAAGAUGGAGCAAGUGAAGAUGAUGCAAGUGAAGAUGAUGCAGAUGAUGAUGAUGAUGCAAGUGAAGAUGCUGUGGCUACCACCCCAACACCAAAUCCCCCAACUACAUCUGACCACACUGCAGCUACCGAUGAUGCAAGUGAGGGUGCUGUGGCUGCCCAAACUGGAACUACUGUAUCCCAUACGACUGAAGUCUGAUUCGACUGCUCCUCUGGUCACAAUGACCUGUCUGGACUUUUUGCCUCUACAUGUUCACUGCAAUAAAGGACAGAUUUGUAUUUUUUUUUUAAUCAAAUGUUGUCUUGCCUUUUUCAAAUUGAGGCCUUGUCCUGUUUUGGUAGUGGAGAUAACUGACGCCUCUUUCCUAACGCACUACAUUUCUGGCAACUUAUAAUGCAUAGUGAACAUGUAAUAAUUCGGUGGUAUGAUCCCAGGAGAACAUUUUUAAGAAACAAAUCACAGAAUUGUGGUUCCUCGCCGUUUUUUUUUUAAUAUAAAUCGAGGCUUUCCUCAUAAUACCGCAAGAACAAAAAGGAAAUAAAAACUAAACGAGUCAAUUCCUCAAAAUGAUAUGAAUUGCUACUGCUGCACUCGUAAAACUUCUAACUAAACUGAAAUUAAAAACCAAACUGAAA
Molecule: long non-coding RNA, 1547 nt
Organism: Clupea harengus (Atlantic herring)
Lineage: Eukaryota; Metazoa; Chordata; Actinopteri; Clupeiformes; Clupeidae
Source: Ensembl